RNAcentral lists this ribosomal RNA (321 nucleotides) under Triticum aestivum (bread wheat). RNAcentral describes it as "partial small subunit ribosomal RNA". The record is from RNAcentral. Lineage: Eukaryota; Viridiplantae; Streptophyta; Magnoliopsida; Poales; Poaceae.
AUGUUGACCACGGGGGACGGGCGGCUCUCAGAGCCGGACGCGGUGAUGUCGAAGCCGGAGGGCACGAUGAGGCAGCCCACGGCGAGCACACUGGUGUUGUACGGCUCCCUGGUGACGGCGCCGAGCUCGGUGGCGUUCGACCCAGGAGUCGACAGUGCGGGGGAACGGACGAAGAUGGCGGAGCCUGCGGCCAUGAGGUUGCCGACGCCGAGGUCGAAGGGCGUGCGGCUGGUGGUCUGGAAGAGCGUGGUCACGAGCCUCCCCGAGGCGGGGACGCGGGCGAGGUCGGAAUGGGAGAGGUACUCGAGGAGGACGUGGUAG